GUUACAGCGGGCUCUCCUCGCACAGCACAGCAGCGCGCUGACCGCAGGUCUUUGGUAAUGCCAGUAUAUGCCAGUCAAAGCGCUUUGGGUAGUAAGUCCGAAGUAUGUGGCACACCAGUGAGUUGCUGGCGAUGCCAUUUCCUCCGGGUUCUCGUGCCUGUUCCUCUCCCGCGGAGGGCAGCCUCGGAACAACGCGUUGUCAGCGACGCUGAAACUACGCGGACGUAGAUGGUGGUACGACGGCCAUCAAGCACCAAGUCCUCCUGCUCGCCACUGAGUCAGUCGCUGUUCCUAAGUACUAACGUGAGAACAUGUUUUAGCAGGAGGAGUUGAAAUUCAUCCGGCCUAUGAAUGGGAAGUAGAGUUACUUUGGUUUAUCCUCUUUGUUAGAUAUACGGACCUGAAUCGCCAGAGGCAUUUUCAGUUGGAAAGGACCCUGGGUGGAUUUCCAGCCAGCUCUGUAAUUGUAACCAGUCACUUUUCACCUGGCUCUCCUUGAGGUUUUUACUCACGUUAAGAGUCUUGACCUUUAAAUCAACCAAAUAAAACAUGAAGUCAAACUCUUUAGUAUGAAUUACUACUUCAUUUCACGCGCACACGGGGGAGUACAUCAUACUCUAUUGUAUUUGGAAGCUACCAGUCAACUCUGGGCAGCAGUUGCAGCAUUACAAAGUGUAUAUGUCCUUACAAAGGGAAUGUAACCACUGCUGCACACUUUCCUUUCCUCACUGCCAAUUUCUCCCUCAGCAUUCCACUCUGCUUCCAACGCCAGUCCUGAUGACGUAGGACAUUCUUAAUUGUACGUACUAUAAAUGCUGUUGCAAUGUUUUUGUUAGCCCUUACAAAUUACUGGCAGGCUGGUUCCUUAAAUUCCAUAUUUAAUUUGGACAGCGCUCAGUAUACUGAGCAUCAGUUGGCCAGAACAGAAGUUACGUUUCACUGCCUUUGGCUGUGCGUUGGGAAAGGUGUUUCAAGUAUUAUUCACCACCUUUCUGACCCAGCAGUGUGCCUAUAGAUAAUGCAGGCAGUCUGAGAACCUACAGGUGUAUCACUGGCGUUUUUUGUAUUUAGCAUUUCUAAGAUGAUACUGAUUUUUGUGGGAGAAGGGGGGGAGGAUGUCUUAUUUCUUCUGUUUUAAUACUGUCACCAACAAAUAGCUAUAGCUGAUCCAACAGACUUAUUUUUUAAAAAUCAGAAACAGGACAAGGCUCUUCAGUCAACUACAACAGUUUUUCUGUGGCUUUAGUUCUAUGUCUCUAUAUAUUAACUCCACAAUUACCUGACAUUAUAUUUUUAGAGAAUUUUCUUCCUCGCAAAUACUUUUCUUUCUCUCCCUGUAAGAAACUCCCUCCCACUGCUCACAGUGCCGUGGUGCCAAGCACACCUGGGUGCUUAACGACUUCCACCAGUGCAAAAUUGUUCUCUCUCCGUCAGUGAGCAGAAGUUCACUGCAGGCUACCAUACGCUGGAUGAUAGCAAGACAACAGGCCGGUUUUUAUGUGCAUUUCAAAACAGCAUAACCAGAAUUGUAUGAGUUGGCCAUUUUUCUUUUUUUACAGACAUCAGUUACUACUUUAGUCAUUAAGUACAUUUUACUAUAUGGUCCAGAAAUGGCAACCAGAACAUUAUAAGAGUGGAAAAUAAUCUACUGUGAUCCAAGGAAGAUGUAAGUGCUCACUGCCACCACAUGUAAUUCAUAUACUGAGGGAGCAGAGAGUAAUUUCAUGGAUUGUUUUUGAGUUCAAAAGCAGAAAAUUAGAUAUUUAAGGCUUCUCUUCACACCGGAGUUCCAGCAGGUUUUGCAGUGCUCUGCCUGGCAGUAUCACGUUAGACUUUUUUGGGGUAUCCCAUAAUUCUUUAUGCAAGAAUGUAAACCAGGUUGCUCAGCAAAUACUUUUCCAGUGAGCUAAGCAAGAACUUGCUCAUAGGGCAUACAGGUGAGAAACACUGUCAGGAUUCACAGGGUUUAACCUGCAUCAUUACUAUGAACUUUGCAGGUCAUGCAUUUGAAUAGAAGUGGAUCCAUGAAUCAUGCGUUACUCCUAGUCCCACCAGCUGAACCAUUGGGCUCAGUAACAAGGGUGAAUACGUACAUAAAGAUGAAGAAAAAUAUGGGAAAAAUUUAAUUAAAAAGCAACCAUUCCUAAAUUAACAUCUUUGCACAAAGUCCUUUAUUUUCUGCUAUAAUAAUGAUAAGCCUUAAAGAAGGAAGUCAGCAUCAAAACAAUGAUCUGUUCCUAUUUUAUCAGCUUGUCACCAAGUUUCAUUCUAAAGUAAUUUAAAGAAAAUGCUGCAGAAGAGGCAAACUCUGGUGCUGAGGUCUAAUAGGAGUUAUCCAGAAAGGAUGUUAAUGUGAGGAUCACGUCGAGUCAGCCUGUAACAGAUAUGUUUCCUUGGCUUCAAGACUAGAAAAUUUGUUAGAGAAAGAAAAUUAGUCAGUAAUGGAACAACGUACUCUUUAUCAUCUUUAAGAUGAUAUAUUCAAGUUAUUUACAUAACUGACAAAUUAUUCAUUACUUUAAUAUCUCUUACAUUACAUUUGGAAAGCAAGAAGGGAAGCACAGGGAAACUGAACGCACUCUUUUGCCUUUCCUAAUGAAGUGAAUGAGAUGCUGCAAAAAGAAGUGAAAUUACAUGAGGUAUCCUUAUAAAAUAGGUAUUCUUACCCCCUCACAUCCCCUCCCUGGCUCUGCUUUUACCCCAUCUAGCUGCCAGCCUUGGCAUUUAGGAGGCUUUUGCCGAUUGGAAUAAUUCAUUAAUCCAGACAAAAACAAACUUCUCUUCCCUCAGGUUAGCAAGUGAAACUGCUUCACAGACAGAUCUAAUGAGUGUUACCACCAGGUCAAAUUAAGUGUUGAAAGCAAGUGGUAAAGAGAGGUAGAGAAGCUCCAACUAUGUGAGACCAAAAUAAUGUAUGGCAAUGUAAGAUAUUACAAGCUUCAACUUCUUCGAGAAAAAGUUUCUGGCAUUUCAAUUUUCAAAGUGCAGAAAAUCUUGGGUUACUUUUGUGAAGGCACGGGAAAAGCCAAGAUUUAAAGUUUACUUUGUCCUGGAACAAAGAAAAGUUUGAAGGAACUGUGUAUGCUAUGGUAUUAGUAGCGGAGCAGAAAUACAAAAGGAGAAGAAUGACCAUGAAAGUACUGAGCAAACAAUACAAACAGGAUAGUAAAUAUCAAAGCUGAAACGUAGAAUGAUGAGAUUAAGGUAGAGCAAAGACAUGCAACAGAUUCAAGUAAAAAUGCAGAAUUAAAGCUGUGUGUAACACACUGGGGAAAGUGCAUUUAGAGAAAGCGAUACGAAGUCUAACAAACUGCAUUACAGUGCUGUUACUGCUAGCCUUAGAAGCCAUGUCUGCACACACAUCAGCUGCUAAUCAGUAAUAACUAUCACAUCUCAAAUUGUAGACUCAGUAUUAAGUAUCUGAUUUGAUACUUGUCAGGUCCUAACCUCUGCCAUUGCUAAUCAAUUGCUCAUGCAGUCUCAUUCCUCCCCCAUUUUACACAAACUCACAUUUGCUUUGCAGAUUAAGCUUUUCCUUUACAUUGCCUACGUCUUAUUAAUGAAGUUAUUUUAGAGCUACGCCAGAUAAAAGAACUACAUUUGUACAUAGGAUGGUGCCAGGUAGCAUUUCUAUCACAACCGUAAGAACAGAGGAACAUAGAUAAAAAUAACCAAGUAACAGACUUACAGGAGAACAGUGAUAAGCAUAAUAGCAAUGAUAUGUUUUAACUAAUGAGAGAUUGUAUCUUGCUGCAGAACAAACUUGGGAAAGAUUAGAUUCUAGAAAGCUGUUCUGCAGUUAAAUGAGGGAAUGUGAGUUCAGAGUUUGUCUGUCCAUUACAUACAGAAUAACAGUGAAGGCAAAAGAAUCAAUACGUAGCAUAGCACUCCUAGUGCAGCAGAACACAACUAAAAGGAAGUGCGUUUGCUGCAGUUCAUCUAACAUAUACCAUACGUGCCUCCUCAGCAGUAAGUCAAAUGACAGAAAAUGCCACUCGGGCUUGAAGUGUGAACUUAGAGCCAUGCACAUGAACUUUUAGAAGAAAGGUUUGAGUGGAAAAGGGGAUCACCAGGUGAAGGUGAUAAACAGUUAUUGCUUUCUGCCCCGUGAGGUGCACUGCAAAUUGCACAACUGUGAACUGAGUAUCUUAAAGUUUACAUACUAAACUGAAAAGUUAAUAUGAGAAAA
Gallus gallus (chicken) is the source of this 4189-nucleotide long non-coding RNA. RefSeq lists it as uncharacterized. Lineage: Eukaryota; Metazoa; Chordata; Aves; Galliformes; Phasianidae. The record is from RefSeq and is a predicted model, not a curated record. The transcript has 2 exons.